RNAcentral lists this ribosomal RNA (765 nucleotides) under uncultured fungus. RNAcentral describes it as "SSU rRNA". It matches the Rfam family "Eukaryotic small subunit ribosomal RNA", at positions 564 to 1337 of the family's 1831-position model. The record is from RNAcentral. Lineage: Eukaryota; Fungi.
GUGCCAGCAGCCGCGGUAAUUCCAGCUCCAAUAGCGUAUAUUAAAGUUGUUGUGGUUAAAAAGCUCGUAGUUGAACCUUGGGCCUGGCUGGCCGGUCCGCCUCACCGCGUGCACUGGUCCGGCCGGGCCUUUCCCUCUGUGGAACCCCAUACCCUUCACUGGGCGUGGCGGGGAAACAGGACAUUUACUUUGAAAAAAUUAGAGUGCUCCAGGCAGGCCUAUGCUCGAAUACAUUAGCAUGGAAUAAUAAAAUAGGACGCGCGGUUCUAUUUUGUUGGUUUAUAGGACCGCCGUAAUGAUUAAUAGGGACAGUCGGGGGCAUCAGUAUUCAACUGUCAGAGGUGAAAUUCUUGGAUCAGUUGAAGACUAACUACUGCGAAAGCAUUUGCCAAGGAUGUUUUCAUUAAUCAGGAACGAAAGUUAGGGGAUCGAAGACGAUCAGAUACCGUCGUAGUCUUAACCAUAAACUAUGCCGACUAGGGAUCGGACGGUGUUAUUCAUGACCCGUUCGGCACCUUACGAGAAAUCAAAGUGCUUGGGCUCCAGGGGGAGUAUGGUCGCAAGGCUGAAACUUAAAGAAAUUGACGGAAGGGCACCACCAGGGGUGUAGCCUGCGGCUUAAUUUGACUCAACACGGGGAAACUCACCAGGUCCAGACACAAUAAGGAUUGACAGAUUGAGAGCUCUUUCUUGAUUUUGUGGGUGGUGUGCAUGGCCGUUCUUAGUUGGUGGGGUGACUUGUCUGCUUAAUUGCGAUAACGGACG